RNAcentral lists this ribosomal RNA (253 nucleotides) under uncultured bacterium. RNAcentral describes it as "partial 16S ribosomal RNA". It matches the Rfam family "Bacterial small subunit ribosomal RNA", at positions 524 to 776 of the family's 1533-position model. The record is from RNAcentral.
GACGGAGGAUGCAAGUGUUAUCCGGAAUAACUGGGCGUAAAGCGUCUGUAGGUGGCUCAAUAAGUCAACUGUUAAAUCUCGAAGCUCAACUUCGAAAUCGCAGUCGAAACUAUUGGACUAGAGUAUAGUAGAGGUAAAGGGAAUUUCCAGUGGAGCGGUGAAAUGCGUAGAGAUUGGAAAGAACACCGAUGGCGAAGGCACUUUACUGGGCUAUUACUGACACUCAGAGACGAAAGCUAGGGUAGCAAAUGGG